Molecule: unclassified non-coding RNA, 196 nt
Filed under: rhizosphere metagenome
Description: partial ribosomal RNA internal transcribed spacer region
Source: RNAcentral
GUAGGUGAACCUGCGGAAGGAUCAUUAACAAAUCAGUUGUAUGGCUUCGGCCAUACAUAUUCACCCCAAGCCUGCUUGUCAGGCUUUGGUAGGCUAGUGUGCUUCGGCGUACUGGCCACAUAGACGCUUGUAUUGUUUGACAGAGUUUAGUUGCAUCAAAAAAUGACAACUUUUAACAAUGGAUCUCUUGGCUCUU